AAGUCGUAACAAGGUUUCCGUAGGUGAACCUGCGGAAGGAUCAUUAACACGUAUCCAAACGUUAAACCCCCCUGUGAACCUUCAGUCGUACUCGUACGUCCGUUAGAAAAAGCAGCAAUCCCUGGUAAAUCAUCGCCGAACAGUUUUCGAUUCAGGGACGUCUGCAAGGAGCGUGCAUGUUGUGCGUGUAAGUGGCCUGGCAUCCCCAAGCAGUUAGUGUCUAAAAGUGUCACUAACGUUAGUGUCUGAAAGUGUCACUAGCCCACACGGCCGACGACCGGGUCACUGGGUGCAAGCCCCCUUAUCACACCCCUGCUCUAUCUAUGGUGAUCCUGCGGGAAGUCCUGCGGUCGAACGCCGAAACCGAACAACUGUUAACAAUGGAUAUCUUGGUUCUC
This 398-nucleotide unclassified non-coding RNA is filed under the name fungal sp. RNAcentral describes it as "partial internal transcribed spacer region". The stretch from base 1 to 46 matches the Rfam family "Eukaryotic small subunit ribosomal RNA", at positions 1786 to 1831 of the family's 1831-position model. Lineage: Eukaryota; Fungi. The record is from RNAcentral.